CCAAAACAGGAUGGGAUUAAAGUGGAAGGGUGGUAAACCUUUGGAACAAGCAUACACACCCAGGUACAGAUGGGGACUUUUUAGCAGGUGAUGAGAGAGAGAAGGACAUGGGGCUGUGCCACCUGAGGACAAAGGGAUCUGAAUGAACAGGAUAUCCUGAAAAAAUGAGGAAAUCACUACAGGCCAUCGGCUCCCUCUCAGCAUUUCCAUUGAGCAGAUUAAAAUGUGAAGGGAUAAGAAUAUAUUUCCUGGGAAUGUUUUGGUAUCUUGGAAUGGAGACCUGGUCUGAUUGCAUGUCUGGAAGAGAGAGAUAACUACUACCAAGUGUUCUUUGGAGUGUAUAUCAUCACAACAGAUCACUCACUCACCUGCUCACCUGCUCACAGAGCUUUUUUCCCUUUGCAAUAAUGCAUCAUGAUUUUAUUUUCUUUAUCCAUUUUCUUUUCUUCAUAGCUCUUUGCACUCCCACCUGAUGCCUGGAAAUUUUUCUGAGACAAUUUUGAUGUCUCCUAUGCUGACAUAAUUUCAUGCUUACCUAGGACAGUUAAAUGUUUUGGGUUUUUUCUGCAUUUUGGGUUCACAUAGAGACAUGGAGAAGAGAUGUCUUCAUUUUUUGGUAUGAAAUACAAUAUUCUGUAUUUCUUUACCUUUUUCUAUUAUCUUUGAUCUUGUUAUCUGAUUGCAGAAUAAGUGAUUCUUAUCAUAUAGUGACAUGUUUAAUAUAUUUUCAAAUUUCUGGUUCUAUUGUAUGAAGUGCUGUUGGAUCAGAAGGCUUGCUAGCUUUUUUAAGGCCACUGUGUCUUAUUAUUACAAAGUAUGCAUUUAUAUGGCCUGAAGAUUUUCUGGAGGUCUACAAAAGAAAAAAAAAAUCCAAUUAAUGUUUUAACUGGCUGCAAUCUAAAAACAAUUUUGUUUGUUUGUUUUCUUUUUUAAAAAGUAUGUAUUUCUAAAGCUGAGAAUAUCUCCAGAGGAUGCAAUACUGAAGAAAGAUAUUCAAAAGAUCACUUAAAACUUUACAUAAGUAUUAUACAGACCUAUAGUAAGAAUAAUUUUACUAAGGGGGGGUGAAAUGUCCUGCUGUUACUCUAGAUUAUGCAUUAUGUUGUUAUGCUGCAGAAAGCAAUGUGGGUUAUUUUCCCAUCUAACCUAGGAGAGUAUGUGAAUAAUCAUUUAAAUCAAGCACUGACAUCUGCCUGUGCUUUACUUGGCUUGCUUUUAAUCAACAAACUGUCAGCCUCUGAUAUUACUGUAAGUACACAGUUAAAGUGCCAAGAAAUUACAGGCCAUUUUAAGUCCUGGGUCUGUGCUGGUUAGUGAGUUAAUACAAGUGCAUCUAAGAUGUAUGCCUGAACAGAUACAGAGAAUGCUUAUUUUGGCUGGUGGAAGUACAUCCUGGAAUGUGUUUUCUGACUUAGAACAGCUUGAUGAAAAAAAGCAAAAAAAAAAAAAAAAAAGAGAGAGAGACAAGGAGUUUCUAAAUGUCUGAUUUAAAGGUUAUUAACUCACCAAGAAUUUAAAAGUAGAAUAGUUGCUGAUCUAUGAUGGGAAAAUAUGUAUAAUGAAUACAGGAACAGAAAGCAGGGGUAAAAAGAGCAAUCAGGAGGAGAGAUUUGCUGCAGUGUUAGCAUUGCACUAGCCUAUGUUUGCUCUCACUUGCCAUGGGCUCCCUGGAGCUGCUGUUCCUUGAGGUGGCCCCAGCAGCUCAGUUCACCCUUUCAGCUCUGGCAAGGUCUGCUCUGGGCCCUGGGACUUGCUUCACCAAGGAAGGCAGAGGCCAGCUGGCAGGAUGGAGCUUGGUUCAUUGGCUGUAGCGUGAUGGAAAACAUUCCCAUUCACCAGAAAGCUGUGAAUGUGAAACCCUGCCAUACCAUCCUUUUCCUUUAUUACAGCUUUUUCUUUCUUUUUCUCUCCUUUUCUUGUUCUUUCUGUUGCAGAACAGGGAGUUAGCAGGGCUUUGGGGAGUAACCCUCAGCACUUCUUCUCCAGUCUUCUUUAACUGGAGAAAACAAAGCUGGAGAGAAAGAGAGGCUGGUGUUGGGCUCAUUAGGUACUGAUCAUCAGAGAUGCCUCAGGCUUCAGAGCCCUUGUGUUAGCAGCACUCUGGGAGGAAACUCCACUGCUGAGAUGACUGCCAGCAAGGUGGCAAGUCUUCAAGGCAGAGCUGCCUUAAUUCUUGCUAGGUCUCUUCAGGCACUUGAUCAGCUGUGCAGUGUGACAGGCAGCAUUGGGAGGCCAGGUUGAUACCAUGACCUGUAGGAACUCUUGUAGAGUUACAGAAGAAACUGUCAGCUGAGAACCAGAGGGCAAAUAAAAGUGCUGCUUUGUCACUCAUCCUCCAGGCUGUAAAAAAAAAAAAAAAAAGGUCCUACUCAGCAAGAAAUCCAUUUCUGAGCAAAAUUUGAGGAUGCAAAUGUAAUAUUACAUAUAGGCACAUAUAUGAAAAUGCUGAGUUGCAGAAAGGGGAAAAAAAAAGAUGAAGCCACAUUUCCCAUUCAGAGAAGAAACACUAAAGUCUCUUAAAAUCCUGCUUCCUAUAAUGUCAAUGCAUGGUUGAACAGAUGCAUUCUCUCUCUCACUUCCCUGGCUUCUGAGACAUCAGACACUAGCUGUGGUUGGAUGCAGGAUGCUGGGCUGGCUAUGGCAGCUCUUGUGCUCCCAAGGGAUUGCUCUGCUGGAGCUGCCCCUGCUCGUCUGCAUUCAGAGAUGGAUUUAAACUGAACUGAUAAAGAAAGAAAACUUGUAUAAAGCAUACAGUAACUCAUUCUGUUAAGGAUUUGGCAUGGCAUUCAAGGGAAACCAAUUAUGAUUUAUGUCAAUACAGCACAGAUAAUUUCCCAUUGAUUGACUGCCAGAUCCUUCAUAAAAUAAUGAGUUAGGCCUGAUGCCAGUGAUUCUUGAGCACCAUCAGGCCAGUGUUUCUAUUUCAUAUGCCCUUGACAAGGCUCCUCUCAAAAAUGUGUGUGUUAAAUGAGUUUAUAAGUUCUCUUCAAAUAUGCAGGCUCAAACAAACAUAAGCUGUGAUUCCCUUACGUGUCAGUGGGGUUUUGAAAUGCAUGCCCUGUCUGGGCAUUUGGCUACAGGUCUAGCAAAAGUGAGUUUUCAUUCAUUACUUAAAAAACAAACAAACAAACAAUAGGAGUUUCUCUGUUUGCUAAGGAUUCCUCUUAGGAGAUUAGGGUAUGUUCAUAUUCCAAGUAGUUCUCAGAGAAAAGUAAGUCAUGAUCAAGCCUAAAGUUAUCUGGAAACAAAUCUCUUGAGGACUAAUUGGUGUGGGGAAAAUCCUCUGUGCUUAUCUGGAAGAGUUAUUUGCAAACUUUCUAUUGCUGUGGGCCUGACCAAUGCCAGUCACUGUGCAGUGUGCAUGUUCAUUAUUCAAGAGACAUAGAACUGAAUUUUCCUGCCCCAAGGAUGAGGAGAUGGGGGCUGGCCAUGUCUGAACAGCUUGUGCUGUGGGAUGGGUAGGUGGCUGAAUCUCCCUUUUCAAAGGUGUGAGCAGAGUGAAGGCACCAACUGGUGUUUCUGGAGAGGACAUAUACCCUCUGUCUCAGGAGAGUUUGCCACCCAAAACAGAACUUCUGCCUGGAAAGUAUCUGCAGCUAUUCUGGUCUUCUGCUCCCUUGCAAUAAGCAGACAGGUCAA
Oenanthe melanoleuca is the source of this 3639-nucleotide long non-coding RNA. RefSeq lists it as uncharacterized. The record is from RefSeq and is a predicted model, not a curated record. Lineage: Eukaryota; Metazoa; Chordata; Aves; Passeriformes; Muscicapidae. The transcript is spliced from 3 exons.